Molecule: ribosomal RNA, 777 nt
Filed under: uncultured Neocallimastigales
Lineage: Eukaryota; Fungi; Neocallimastigomycota; Neocallimastigomycetes; Neocallimastigales
Description: partial large subunit ribosomal RNA
Rfam family: Eukaryotic large subunit ribosomal RNA
Source: RNAcentral
UAUCUCUGUAGAGUCUGCAUAUCAAUAAGCGGAGGAAAAGAAACUAACUAGGAUUCCCUCAGUAACGGCGAGUGAAGCGGGAAGAGCUCAAAUUUGAAAUCUUCAAGGUUUUACCUUGACGAAUUGUAGUUUAAAGAAGUGUUUUCUGUUGGAGUUUUGGUAAAAGUUCUUUGGAAAUAGGACAUCAUAGAGGGUGAGAAUCCCGUAUUUGGUCCAUUAUUUCCUAGCGUUGUGAUACACUUUCAAAGAGUCGGAUUGUUUGGGAAUGCAGUCCAAAAUGGGUGGUAAAUUUCAUCUAAAGCUAAAUACUGGCGAGAGACCGAUAGCGAACAUGUACCGUGAGGGAAAGAUGAAAAGAACUUUGAAAAGAGAGUUAAACAGUACGUGAAAUUGUCAAAAGGGAAGCGUUUGACACCAGUGUUGUUUUCUCGAAAAUCAAUUAAAAAUGGCGGGAUUUUGUGUUGUAUUGACUUUAUCAGCUUUCUGCACUUUUUUCCUGUCUUUUUUAAUGCACUUUUCGUUUAACAAGUCAACAUCAAUUUCUUUUGUUGUAAAAGAGUCAUUGGAAGGUGGCUUUCACUUCGGUGAAAGUGUUUAUAGCCUUUGGCUUCUGCAAUCAGAGAGAUUGAGGUCUGCAGCGUAGAUCCUUCGGGGUUAGAUACGUAGAUGCUAAGUUAUAAUUUUUUAUAGACAACUUGUUGACUAUAAUCAAUCAUGUAGCUUACUCGUUUGCGCUAUAUUACCUACGCUUAGGAUGUUGAUCUCUCACAGUCGAGC